Molecule: ribosomal RNA, 497 nt
Filed under: uncultured bacterium
Lineage: Bacteria
Description: partial 16S ribosomal RNA
Rfam family: Bacterial small subunit ribosomal RNA
Source: RNAcentral
GAUGAACGCUGGCGGCGUGCCUAAUACAUGCCAGUCGAGCGAACAGACGAGGAGCUUGCUCCUCUGACGUUAGCGGCGGACGGGUGAGUAACACGUGGAUAACCUACCUAUAAGACUGGGAUAACUUCGGGAAACCGGAGCUAAUACCGGGUAAUAUAUUGAACCGCAUGGUUCAAUAGUGAAAGACGGUUUUGCUGUCACUUAUAGAUGGAUCCGCGCCGCAUUAGCUAGUUGGUAAGGUAACGGCUUACCAAGGCAACGAUGCGUAGCCGACCUGAGAGGGUGAUCGGCCACACUGGAACUGAGACACGGUCCAGACUCCUACGGGAGGCAGCAGUAGGGAAUCUUCCGCAAUGGGCGAAAGCCUGACGGAGCAACGCCGCGUGAGUGAUGAAGGUCUUCGGAUCGUAAAACUCUGUUAUUAGGGAAGAACAAAUGUGUAAGUAACUAUGCACGUCUUGACGGUACCUAAUCAGAAAGCCACGGCUAACUACGUG